This 73-nucleotide transfer RNA is filed under the name Paramuricea clavata. It matches the Rfam family "tRNA". From Rfam's summary of the family: Transfer RNA (tRNA) molecules are approximately 80 nucleotides in length. The record is from Rfam by way of RNAcentral. Lineage: Eukaryota; Metazoa; Cnidaria; Anthozoa; Malacalcyonacea; Plexauridae.
GCCUCUGUAGCUCAGUUGGUUAGAGCGCUGCAUCGGAAUCGCAGGGCCGUAGGUUCAAUUCCUACCAGAGGAC